Molecule: non-coding RNA, 108 nt
Filed under: bovine gut metagenome
Description: FMN riboswitch (RFN element)
Rfam family: FMN riboswitch aptamer (RFN element)
About the family: The RFN element is a highly conserved domain that is found frequently in the 5'-untranslated regions of prokaryotic mRNAs that encode for flavin mononucleotide (FMN) biosynthesis and transport proteins. This element is a metabolite-dependent riboswitch that directly binds FMN in the absence of proteins. In Bacillus subtilis, the riboswitch most likely controls gene expression by causing premature transcription termination within the 5' untranslated region of the ribDEAHT operon and precluding access to the ribosome-binding site of ypaA mRNA.
Source: RNAcentral
UUUCUUCAGGGCAGGGUGCAAUUCCCGACCGGCGGUACAGUCCGCGAGCCUUUGUGGCAGAUCCGGUGUGAUUCCGGAACCGACAGUAAAGUCUGGAUGGGAGAAGAA